Molecule: ribosomal RNA, 437 nt
Filed under: uncultured Glomus
Lineage: Eukaryota; Fungi; Glomeromycota; Glomeromycetes; Glomerales; Glomeraceae
Description: SSU rRNA
Rfam family: Eukaryotic small subunit ribosomal RNA
Source: RNAcentral
CUCCAAUAGCGUAUAUUAAAGUUGUUGCAGUUAAAAAGCUCGUAGUUGAAUUUCGGGAUCAAUACGUCGGUCGUGCUUCGGUACGUACUGGCGUCAUUGAUUUCUCCCUUCUGACGAACCAUGAUGUCAUUAACUUGGUGUCAUGGGAAAUCAGGACUGUUACUUUGAAAAAAUUAGAGUGUUUAAAGCAGGCUCGCGCUUGAAUACAUUAGCAUGGAAUAAUGAAAUAGGACGUUCGAUCCUAUUUUGUUGGUUUCUAGGAUUGACGUAAUGAUUAAUAGGGAUAGUUGGGGGCAUUAGUAUUCAAUUGUCAGAGGUGAAAUUCUUGGAUUUAUUGAAGACUAACUACUGCGAAAGCAUUUGCCAAGGAUGUUUUCAUUAAUCAAGAACGAAAGUUAGGGGAUCGAAGACGAUCAGAUACCGUCGUAGUCUUAACC